RNAcentral lists this ribosomal RNA (254 nucleotides) under uncultured bacterium. RNAcentral's name for it is "partial 16S ribosomal RNA". It matches the Rfam family "Bacterial small subunit ribosomal RNA", at positions 524 to 776 of the family's 1533-position model. The record is from RNAcentral.
UACGGGGGGGGUAAGCGUUGUUCGGAAUUACUGGGCGUAAAGGGCUCGUAGGCGGCUUGGCAAGUCGGGUGUGAAACCUCCAGGCUCAACCUGGAGACGCCACUCGAUACUGCCAUGGCUAGAGUCCGGUAGGGGACCACGGAAUUCCUGGUGUAGCGGUGAAAUGCGCAGAUAUCAGGAGGAACACCGGUGGCGAAGGCGGUGGUCUGGGCCGGCACUGACGCUGAGGAGCGAAAGCGUGGGUAGCAAACAGG